Molecule: long non-coding RNA, 4932 nt
Filed under: Strigops habroptila (Kakapo)
Lineage: Eukaryota; Metazoa; Chordata; Aves; Psittaciformes; Psittacidae
Description: lncRNA (ENSSHBG00005012777.1)
Source: RNAcentral
GGAGGCUGGGUUUUGUGGACCAUUAACUUUAUUUGACAAAGGCAUUUAGGGGUUUAAAUCUGUAGUUUGUAAUUGCUGCUUCAGUGAGAUUUGGGAACAUAUGUAGGAUGAAGAUGCCUAAAUGCACCUGUGGAUUUGGGUCAGUGUUCUCAAAGAUGCAACUCAGCUAUAUUGUUUAGAAACAGGUACCGGUUGGUCCUGAAAACAGGUCUGUAGGAUCCCCGGCUUUCCUGGAGGGGUAGUUUAUACUACAUGAGGCUCCUUUUUUCUUUACUUCCUUUCAUCUCAGUAUAGAAACAAAAUCUGUCUUGGUACCUUCUAGAAGGACCAGAUCCUCGUAAGUGCUGCUGUGUAGUCUUCUGAGGAUACUAAUUAUCCACAUCAGAAUAUGUUCCAAAUUGUUAUUUAGCCAGCGAAUGGCAUCCAUGCUAGAAGGUCAGCAUGAGAGCCAACAGAAAAUUGCCUCUUUGCCACACUUUCUGUGAAUGUAGCCCAAGCAAGGUGCUGGAAUUUGGUGUUUCCCUUUGAUAAGUCAGUUACUCUCCGCUUGGGUAGACAAGGCUGGCAUGGGCCUGGAAGGGAAAUGUUCUUAUCCUUAACGAUACUUCUGAGAAACUACCCCAUCUACCCCAGGAUAAAGAGUACAGUUAAGAUGUCAUGCAUAUCCCUAGUAACCUCGUGAGUCCAGAUAACUUCUAAAUUUGUGAUAGUAGAGAUUGGUAACUGCAUCUUAAAUCUUUCAGGGAAUUAUGGGAAGCAGGUUCACUCAGGUCUUGCCCUUACAAUAUACUGUUUGGACACAAAAUGGAAGAACUUUUAUCAUCUUUUUAGUACAGGUUUUUGAAAGCGUGCAUUUAAAACAGUUUCCGCUGGCUUUGCAUGUGACAAGUGUGAAAAGACUAGCAACUUGUGAAAAGACUGUAGCAACUAACUUGAAAGGGCUCUAUAAGUGUAGGUUUUCAAAUGCUAUUCAUCCUUUGGAAAGGAAUUUCUUUGUUACCAGUCAAAGCAGGUAUCUGAAGGUCUGCUUGGUAGAAAGCACAUCAGCUGCCUGGCUCACAAUGACUAGAAAUGGCUGGGUUUUUCUUACAUCCCAAAUCAUGAAGUGUGUGGUUUCAUAGCUUCAUGGCAAGCUGAUCUCAUUUGGAGCAGCCACGGCCCAGCUCCUUACCCUUGCACUGGCAGAUGCUCUCGAAUUCCACUAGUCCAUUCCAUGCAGUUAAGUGUGUUUUCCCCCACCAUCAACAGAGUAGCUCUCCAAAAACUCUUCUUUCCUACCAACCUAAGCUAGCAUUUCCUAGGUCAGCUCCUUGAGCCAUCUUGCCUCAGGGCCAGAUAGUGCAGUGGGGCACAAUGGGCAGGAGGGAGAGUGGGACUGCAGUAGUCCCAGUUUAGAUUAACAUUGGCCGUCACAGAACCAUGCCCAAAGAUUUAGCAGGGCAGAAUCAGGAUGAUCCUGCAGGACAGGGCAUACUGGGUCAUGUUCCUAAAGCUGUUUUCAUUUCAUCUAUUCAUUGCCCUGAGGCAUGACCUUCCUGUCCUGCUAGAUUCACAGUUCAAGUUGCUUCAUUUAUGUGUGUGCAUCUAAGCCUCAGGAAGAGGUUGCCUGUGUUCUCUCUACUUCUCCUACAGGUGAAAUUUCUUUCAGAAGAUCAAAGAACCAUCUUGCAAAUAUUUUACAUAUUCAGAAUAGAAAAGGUGACACAAAGCAUUUUAGCUGCUGCUCAGAAAGUCCUGUCAACACCCAGCAGGAUGGAAGAUUCCUGUUUUGUGGAUGGAUGUAGCCAUCUUACCUACGUUCUUCAUCUAGGGAAAGCCAUUACUGCUAAUGCAUCUCAUAGGUGUUAAAUCAACAUAAUCCCAUCAUUAGAUAUUUUGGUCUCCUACUGAUCUGGGAUCAGAGUAGCACCUGAAUUUUGAAAGGGGAGAUUUAGCAUUAGCUUGCGAAAGAAAAUGUCUUUGCUAAGGUUUUAUUUAAAUGGCAGAAAAGUCUGAAAAUCACCUUUUUAUAGCUACCAUUUUAUCUGAAAUGCUUCUUGACUUCUGAUCCUGUUUUUCCAUUGCCCUUUCCCAAUUAAUGGUUCAUCUUUUAUCUUCUGAAAUCCCUGUAUGACUAUUAAAAGCUGAAUUAUUACCAGAAAUGGGCAGAAGGACAAGAUGAGUAAUGAGGGAGCAAUCUCUUGUUUAUAAAUUGGUCUUUAAUCAGCAGUUUAGGAAGGCAGACGGAAAAAUAAAUUAAGUAGAGCAUGUUUUGAAAGCGUAGCUAAGCAUGAAUGUCAUUCUUAAAAAUUAGCCUCACAGGCAAAUACUUGAUGAGUUUUUUGUCCUUAUCUUAAAAGAUUAAACAAAAAAAAGUACCAAAAAUGAGUUGUUUCUAGAAGAUGCUGUGAAGAGAGUUGCGAAGUAGGUGAAAUGUGCCAGAGAGAAGCAAGAAAUAUUAGCAAAUACUUCGAGUACUUUAGAGCAAGGGUUUUAUCUGUUGGUAGAACUAGUAAAAUAAGUGAUUAGACCCAUCAUGAAGUUUUUAUUCUUUUGUUGUUAAAACUAAAACCUACCACCACAAUCUAUCAAGACACAUAGAGCUUGAGGUCUGCCACAGCCCCCUGUGCCAGCCACCCUUACUUUGGACUAUGAGUGUACUCCCUUCUCAUUUCCUACAACACACAGAGCCCUCUCCCUGCUUUCUUUAAGCUGCCUUAGAUCAGCUGAAUUAGCUUCUCCUGCCAAGCCCUGUGUAGAUGCAGUUUCUUCCCCCUUCCUUAUGCAGUCUGCUGGUAUCUCUUGGUUCUCUUCUUUAUAGAGCAAGACGUUCCAUGGAAUUAAUGCUAUUAGCCUAAAAUCGUGUUUGCAGGGAUGUUUAUGGUUUGUUUCCAAUAUUCAGAAUAAGAAUCUUAAGAAAAAACAAAGCAACAAAACUAACAAAACACUCUUGAAAGGAUGGAAGGACAGCAUGGUAGGGAGCAAUUGUUUGGAUGUAAUGGCAUUCAACAUGCUUCUUUUGAACAGAGCAAAGGGUCUCUGAUGUCUGCUGCUCACUCCUGCAUUAUUAGCAGAGCUCUGAGGAGUGCUGUCAAGAAAGGGACGUAAACUAACCAAACCUCAUGUGAAAGCCAGCACAGGGAAGUUAGAUGUAUGUUUCUUUUUCUCUUGCUCCUGAAUCCUUUUAGUUAAGCAUAGCGGAACACCCCUCCCUAAAAAUCUGUUUAAAUACAAUUUCUUUGUGGGUGGCAGGAGAGUUUUUUGGCUGAAGCAUAAGAUGAAGAGUGUCUUAGAUUCAGCUUCUGUUCAAUGUUCUGGCAAACUUCUGAAGAUUUUGGGCAGCAGUUUUACUCUGUGCCGUAGUUUCUUCAUCUCUGAAAUGGGACUACCAGUCUGCCUCACGGCAUGCUGACGCUAAAUAAACUGUAGAAUUUCAGGAGAUCGUUGCAUGUGAAAGCACUGCAUAGAGUUACUGUUUAUUCAGAAAUUCUGAAGGAAGCUCCCUAUUAGCAAGGCCUAAUUUCUGGUCUGAGAGUGAGCUGACAAUCUCACCAUUCUUAUUUUUCUCACCGUAGGUUGCUAUGUUGGUCUCUAAACCAGAUCCCAGCAUUCUUUAAUACUGGUUUAAUAUUCAGGCGCUUUACUGUACACAGUCUUUAAAGGUUAACGGGUGUGUCAGCUCUUCGUUAUUAAACCAGUUUGACACCAGACUAGAAAUUAGUUUGCAGCCUGACACGUUUAUUGCAGUUGAUGCUUUUCAGGAGGAUAUAUGUGCAAUAAGGAGCUUAAAGUGAAAUUAAACUGACACAUUUUCAAAUGCAUAAUGAAUUAGACUUCGCUUGAACUUUCAGACCUCUAUCUUGGGAAGAAUGGGUACAGCUUGCUUUCAAGAAAUCCUUUUUUCAGUAAAAUAUGCUGGAUCUGUAUUCAAUGUUCUCUCACUAUGUAUUCUCUUGUGCUUUAAUUUUAACAGUUUGCAUUUUUUAACAUCUUUUACAUUCAACCUAAUGUUCGACUAGUCUAGAGAAAAUCUCUGACCACCUAGUAACCGAUACCGUCUUUUUAAACCAAGCUCUUGUCCUCCCUCUACAGGAGAAUUUGCAGCGUUCAAGUAGCCACAGCACCAUGGCAGCACCCACUCUGUUAUUUAAGUCUUGUGUUCCUACAGUUUCUUAACAUCCAAACUCUGUUCUGCUCCGCAAAACCUAAAGUAAUUUAGAAAAGAUAUUCAUAAGCUUAAAAGUGGAGCAGAAUGGAACUGCCAGUCCAACACAAUGGGAAAAAGUACCUUUUUGGGAACCAGAAUCCUCUGCUGCCAGUGUUUCUCCUUCAACACAAACCACCACGUGCAUUCGGAGACCCGCAGUGGCUGCCUGUGCCGUUGGCAUCAUUCCCAGGAGAGAGGAGAGGGCGCUCGUGGUUUGACUGUGGUGCUCGGGCAUGAGGGGAUGGAACUGCUGCUGCAACUUAGGAGACUUGCUUUGGAUGGUCUGCCGGUCGGCUUUCUCCCUCUAACAACGUACCAUCAGAGGCUGAAAAUCUGAUGAGUGCUAAUUUACAAGAAUCAUCCUCUGUUCUGAUCUUUUUUUUCCCAGUGUACUCACUGAUUUACGGACAAUGCAGUAUCCCCUUUUCACUGUAUUACAACGUCAAACACCUAAAUCUGUCUAUGUUAUUGGGGUUUAUUCCGAUAAAGUUAAAAGCGGGGGGUGAUGGGAGCUGGAGAAGAUGUGGCUCUAAGUCAGUGAGGUUAAUCUGAAGGAAAAGGGGAUGCUGCUGCACCUUUUUUCAGAUUUACUUUAUCACUUCUUCAAAAACAUACAACCACCACCAACCUUAACCUGUUUCCUUUUCCAGUGUUUUCUUGGUGUGUGCAUAUACAACAUCUUGUAGAAGGGUUAGGUAGAUCCUUCUUUUGUUGGUCCAGCAACAAACUGAAGUUCAAAAAAAAAA